RNAcentral lists this ribosomal RNA (487 nucleotides) under uncultured bacterium. Its description in RNAcentral is "bacterial SSU rRNA". It matches the Rfam family "Bacterial small subunit ribosomal RNA", at positions 28 to 507 of the family's 1533-position model. The record is from RNAcentral.
GAUGAACGCUAGCGACAGGCCUAACACAUGCAAGUCGAGGGGCAGCACAAUGGUAGCAAUACUAUGGUGGCGACCGGCGCACGGGUGAGUAACACGUAUGCAACCUACCUGUAAGCGGGGAAUAACCCGGAGAAAUUCGGACUAAUACCGCAUAACACUGAAUUACUGCAUGGUAAUUCAUUUAAACAUUUAUGGCUUACAGAUGGGCAUGCGUAUGAUUAGCUAGUAGGUGAGGUAACGGCUCACCUAGGCAACGAUCAUUAGGGGUUCUGAGAGGAAGGUCCCCCACACUGGUACUGAGACACGGACCAGACUCCUACGGGAGGCAGCAGUGAGGAAUAUUGGUCAAUGGUCGCGAGACUGAACCAGCCAAGUCGCGUGAAGGAAGACGGUCCUACGGAUUGUAAACUUCUUUUAUACAGGAAUAAAGUGAGGUACGUGUACCUUUUUGUAUGUACUGUACGAAUAAGCAUCGGCUAACUCCGUG